UACGUAGGGUGCGAGCGUUAAUCGGAAUUACUGGGCGUAAAGCGUGCGCAGGCGGCUUUGCAAGACAGAUGUGAAAUCCCCGGGCUUAACCUGGGAACUGCAUUUGUGACUGCAUGGCUGGAGUGCGGCAGAGGGGGAUGGAAUUCCACGUGUAGCAGUGAAAUGCGUAGAGAUGUGGAGGAACACCGAUGGCGAAGGCAGCCCCCUGGGAUAACACUGACGCUCAGGCACGAAAGCGUGGGGAGCAAACAGG
Molecule: ribosomal RNA, 253 nt
Filed under: uncultured bacterium
Lineage: Bacteria
Description: partial 16S ribosomal RNA
Rfam family: Bacterial small subunit ribosomal RNA
Source: RNAcentral